This 782-nucleotide ribosomal RNA is filed under the name uncultured bacterium. RNAcentral describes it as "bacterial SSU rRNA". It matches the Rfam family "Bacterial small subunit ribosomal RNA", at positions 8 to 796 of the family's 1533-position model. The record is from RNAcentral.
AGAGUUUGAUCAUGGCUCAGAAUCAACGCUGGCGGCGUGCCUAACACAUGCAAGUCGAGCGAGAAAGGGGCUUCGGCCCUGAGUAAAGCGGCGCACGGGUGAGUAACACGUGGGUAAUCUGCCCUAGAGUGGGGAAUAACACCGGGAAACCGGUGCUAAUACCGCAUACGAUCGCGAUGUCUUCGGAUGUUGUGAUGAAAGGAGCAAUUCGCUCUUGGAGGAGCCCGCGGCUGAUUAGCUAGUUGGUGAGGUAAUGGCUCACCAAGGCUGCGAUCAGUAGCCGGUCUGAGAGGACGGUCGGCCACACUGGAACUGAGACACGGUCCAGACUCCUACGGGAGGCAGCAGUGGGGAAUUUUUGGCAAUGGGGGCAACCCUGACCAAGCAACGCCGCGUGGGUGAUGAAGUCUCUUGGGACGUAAAACCCUUUCGACGGGGAAGAAAACCGCAAGGUUUGACGGUACCCGUAGAAGAAGCCCCGGCUAACUCCGUGCCAGCAGCCGCGGUAAUACGGGGGGGGCAAGCGUUGUUCGGAAUUACUGGGCGUAAAGGGCGCGUAGGCGGUUCGCUAAGUUGGAUGUGAAAACUCUGGGCUCAACCCAGAGCCUGCAUCCAAAACUGGCGGGCUAGAGUUCUGGAGGGGGUAGCGGAAUUCCUGGUGUAGCGGUGAAAUGCGUAGAUAUCAGGAGGAACACCGGUGGCGAAGGCGGCUACCUGGACAGAAACUGACGCUGAGGCGCGAAAGCUAGGGGAGCAAACAGGAUUAGAUACCCUAGUAGUCC